RNAcentral lists this ribosomal RNA (253 nucleotides) under uncultured bacterium. RNAcentral's name for it is "partial 16S ribosomal RNA". It matches the Rfam family "Bacterial small subunit ribosomal RNA", at positions 524 to 776 of the family's 1533-position model. The record is from RNAcentral.
UACGUAGGGGGCAAGCGUUGUCCGGAAUCAUUGGGCGUAAAGAGCGCGUAGGCGGCCCGAUAAGUCCGCUGUGAAAGUCAAGGGCUCAACCCUUGAAUGCCGGUGGAUACUGUCGGGCUAGAGUCCGGAAGAGGCGAGUGGAGUUCCUGGUGUAGCGGUGAAAUGCGCAGAUAUCAGGAGGAACACCAAUGGCGAAGGCAGCUCGCUGGGACGGUACUGACGCUGAGGCGCGAAAGCGUGGGGAGCAAACAGG